RNAcentral lists this ribosomal RNA (456 nucleotides) under uncultured bacterium. RNAcentral's name for it is "bacterial SSU rRNA". It matches the Rfam family "Bacterial small subunit ribosomal RNA", at positions 30 to 475 of the family's 1533-position model. The record is from RNAcentral.
AUUGAACGCUGGCGGCAGGCCUAACACAUGCAAGUCGAACGGUAGCACAGAGAGCUUGCUCUCGGGUGACGAGUGGCGGACGGGUGAGUAAUGUCUGGGAAACUGCCUGAUGGAGGGGGAUAACUACUGGAAACGGUAGCUAAUACCGCAUAACGUCGCAAGACCAAAGAGGGGGACCUUCGGGCCUCUUGCCAUCAGAUGUGCCCAGAUGGGAUUAGCUAGUAGGUGGGGUAACGGCUCACCUAGGCGACGAUCCCUAGCUGGUCUGAGAGGAUGACCAGCCACACUGGAACUGAGACACGGUCCAGACUCCUACGGGAGGCAGCAGUGGGGAAUAUUGCACAAUGGGCGCAAGCCUGAUGCAGCCAUGCCGCGUGUAUGAAGAAGGCCUUCGGGUUGUAAAGUACUUUCAGCGGGGAGGAAGGUGUUGUGGUUAAUAACCGCAGCAAUUGACGU